Molecule: small RNA, 30 nt
Filed under: Bombyx mori (domestic silkworm)
Lineage: Eukaryota; Metazoa; Arthropoda; Insecta; Lepidoptera; Bombycidae
Description: ovarian small RNA-561
Source: RNAcentral
CUGCUGGUCCUUGCGGUCUACUCCGCCCAU